CAAAAACGUCAAAUAAAAUAUGUUUCGGAUUGUGGGUGCAUUUCAUGUGACGCAGUCCAAAGACGUGUUUUAAGCGAUGUUCACAUUCUUGUAAAAACAAUAAUAAUAAAGCGGUUAAAAGUUAAAAUUUGCACAUAAGUUCAUAUUUGUAUAAAACCAGAUAAUCAAGCCGAAUAUAACAAUUGAGCGACCGUGCUAGAACCACGGAACUCGGGAAUGCCUAACACCUUCUCCCGGGUUAACAGAAUCCCUUAUCCGGAUUUCUGGUACGCAGACUAUAAUAUAGAGUCAUUAUCUUCCUCGAUUUGGGAUUAAAAUUGGUGACUUGGGACACCCUAAAUCUCCCAAGUGGCGACUCUGAAAUAAUUAAACCCAAUCCCAUUUCGAUUGUCCUUUAAUUGGAAAAACUCCCUUGCGCCCCCCUCGGAUGCGUAAAAAGGAGGUGCGACACCGAUCAGCGAGACUCUAAUAAACCGGCUUAUUAUCCAUGACUCAUAUGAACCUAGAGCUAUGAUAUCAACUUGUCACGACCCGGUUCGCCCUCCGUGAACCAUCGUUACGACACCUAGUCUCUAUGACUAGGUAAGCCUAAAAUGCGGAAAUUAACCCAAACUUGCGGAAGAAAAGAAAAACAAUUUAAAAUAGAAAUAGAGAAAUGAAACAACGUUUUAAAGGUACCGCUCUGCAUACACAACAUUUAACUUCUCAAAACCAAUAUAUACUCCCAAAACCCGAAAACCCAUGAAUCACAAGCUAUGAAACAUUGUAAAAUGCUCUAACUCCGGAAUGUCUAUAUCAAUAAUAAAGAUAGAAGGGCUAUCACUACAAGAUAGAAUAGAGGGAGAGACUCAUCGGUUUGCGGACGCGGCAGAUAUACCUCGAAGUCUCCGAAAGAUCACCUCGCCUCAAGGAUGGUAGGUCUGAGUAGAGGUACCUGGAUCUGCACAUGAAAAACAUGCGCAGAAAGGGCAUGAGUACACCACAGCUGUACUCAGUAAGUGCCAAGCCUAACCUCGAUUGGGUAUUGACGAGGAAGGUCAGGUCCCUACUGAGAUUAAAUAAAUAUAAAGAUGACAGGAUAGGAUAAGCAGUACAAUUGAGAAUCUAUACAAGAUAAUAAGGAGCAUAAUAACUGAAACAUAGAUAAAGACAAAACACAAUGAAAUACCACUCAUAACAAGGAUGAUAAUCGGGGAUCUCUCAGUAUCCUCAAUAUACAUAUGUCGGGGAUCUCUUCGUAUCCCGAGGAUCUCUUGGUAUCCUCAAUAUACGUGCCAAGGAUCUCUUGGUAUCCAGAGGAUCUCUUGGUAUCCUCAAUAUACGUGCCAAGGAUCUCUUGGUAUCCCGAGGAUCUCUUGGUAUCCUCAAUAUACGUGUCAGGGAUCUCUCGGUAUCCCACACCUCAGUUCAAAUCAUAUAUACAUUCAGGGGGAUCUCCCGGGAUGUCGUCCUGUAGUCCAAAAAUAAAACACACAGCAACACAUAAGAAUACUCAAUUAAGCUAAACUUUGUACUAAGUAAAACAGGUAAUUCUAACCUAACAUCCUUCACGUAAUGCAAUUAAGGCAGUUUAAGCAAAUGGGCAAUUAGGUCAACUAACAUGUUUUUCUAACUAACAACAUAUUAAAUUUGCAAGUAGAAUAAAACAGGAAAAAGGAACUCAAUUGAAAUAACUUAAAAAAACCGAAUUUUUCAACAAUUAGCUCAAGUACGCACUCGUCACCUCACGUACAAGGCAUUUCAAAUAUCAAAUAUACCAAAUCCUAAGGGGAAGGUCCCCCACACAAGGUUAGGCAAGCCACUUACCUCAAACCAGCUCAAAUCAACCCGAAACCACGCUCUUGCCACGAGUACUCGACUCCAAAUGGCCCGAAUCUCUUCAAUUCAAUUUCAUAAUGUAAAUAACACUUCAAGUAACUGAUUCAUCAAUUAAAUUCUAAGCUUAUACGCGAAAUUAGGUAAAAUAACCAAAAUGCCACUUGGGCCCACAUCUCGGGAUCGGGUAAAAUUUACACUUCCAGAAUCCUCACACUCUCACGAGUCUGACCAUACUAAAAUUAUCCAAAUCCAAUGUCAAAUCCCUAAUCAAAACUCAAUUUUUUGGUCUAACAUCCUUUAUGUCCUGCCGAGUUAAUUCCUUAAUCGCGAUCGCGGAAGACCAGACGCGAUCACGAAGAACAAAAACCACGCGCCUCAAAUUUACUUUACGCGACCGCGGAACCCCGUCCGUGACCGCGAUGCUUUAGCUCCCUCAACCUACGUGAUCAUGGUUGACUCCAUGCCACCGCGUAGAGAAACACUUAACAAACCACUGCCGCAUUAUUUCUUCUAUCCGAACGCGCCCUAGCCCACGCAUUCGCGAUUCAGCAUUGCUCAUAGCUACGUGUUCGUAUUCCUCUUCACGCGAACACGAAGGGUAAAAAUUCCCUCUGCCUCGUCUAAGCCUUCGCGAUCGCGAUCCUCCCCACGCGAUCGCAAUGAAGAAAAGUUUGCAACACAUACUAGCAAAAAUCUAAUGCUUCUCCAAGUCCAAAAAUGGUUCGUUGAGCAUCCGAAAUAUACCCGAGGCCGCCGGGACCUUAACCAAAACUGCCAACCAAUCCUAAAACAUCAUUCAAACUUGCUCCAACAUUCGGAACGCACAAAACAACAUCAAAACACCUAUUUUUCGUCGGAUUCAAGCUUAAGAAUUUCAAAAACUCUAAAAACACGCUUUCGAUCAGAAAGUCUAUCAAACCUCGUCUGAAUGACAUGAAAUUUUGCACACACGUCACAUUAAACACUACGGAGCUACUCCAACUUCCGAAAUUCUAUUCCGACUCUCAGAUCAAAAUCUCAAUAUCGAACCGUAAACUUCAAAAAUUUUACUUUCGGCAUUUCAAGCCUAAAUUAGCUACGGACCUCUAAAACAAAAUCUGAACACGCCCUUAAGCCCGAAAUCACCCAACGGAGCUAACAGAACCAUCAGAUUUCCAUUCCAAGGCUGUCUUCACACUGUUCCGACUACUGUCAACUUUCCAACACUUAAGUUCUCAUUUAGGGACUAAGUGUCCCAAAACUCUCCGAAACUCAAAACCGAAUAUCCCGGCAAAUCAAAAUAGCAGAAAUAAACUCGGGAAAAACAAUUAAUAGAGGAUCGGAGCAUUAAUUCUUAAGACGACCGGCCGAGUCGUCACAAUUAUCUUCCUAAUAAAUAUAAGCUCACUUGACAAAAGUUUGUUAUGUCUGACAAGCCAUAUAAAAUGUUUAGACUGGUCAGCAAUACAAAGCUUUAAUAUAUUAUUUCAUUCCGCGUUAUAUGAGGUAGUUACAUUAUCACAAAUAUGCCGAUUUGGUACUAAAAGUGAUUUCUUCUUCAGAAACAACAUUAUCACGAAUAACAUUAAAUAAGAUAAUAUUUAUUUGAGUGGAUCGAGAAAAUGAGUUACAGAUGUAAACCAUUAUCUAUCCAAUAAAACAUCAGAACUUUAAUAAGUGUGGCAACUUUGGUUAGUGUCGAUAUUAACUUUAUAAAUAAGUGGCCGCUCCACCAAUUAAGCCAAAACUUAAUUAAUCUUCGAUGGCCAAAUCCUAUUUUGUCCCCUUCACUUUACAAAAUUACAUGUUGCGAAACACCGGCACAACUGCCACUUAAUUGCAAUGGCGAUAGACACCGUAGCAUAAAAUUUACAUUUCAUGUUGCAAAACCAACCAAAAUUUUAUUAUUAAAAUUCCUUUGAGAGAGCAUAUUUCCUUGUAACAGACUUUCUAUUUUUACAAGGUAGGAAUAAAGUUUGCAUACACUCUACCUUCCCCAAACUUCACUCAUAAAAUUAUAUUAUUAUUGUUGUUAUUUCGAGAGAGCAUACUUAAGAAACAUGUCAAUAUUUACUUAGGGAUUAGUUUAAUUUGUAAGGGAUGCACGUAAACUCGUACAGAUACCUACUCAGUACUCACACUGUUACUAAUCUAAUAAAAUUAAAUUACAAAACACAAAUAUAUUCUCUCAUAACGAAUUUACAUGGCGUAACAUGACUCACUUUCCCAUAGAAUUAGAAACUCUUUGCAAUAAAAGAGAACUAAGGGAGUGACCAUACCGUGCUACCCGUUAUUGCAUUUUAGGCAAUAAAAAGUUACUAAUGAUAUAUAAUAUUCAAAAAUUGUGGAAAAAUAAGAUUUCGAAGAAGAUUAGAGAUAAUUUGGACUGGUUUGAAAUCAAAACUCAUAGUUAAAAUCGAGUAAAGGAAAUUUUUCUAUGUCACAUGUAUCUCAAACAUAAGCAAUCUAACUUUAAUGACUUGCGAUGGAGUUUUAUAAAAGAAAUUGUUGCUAUGCAUGAAGCAUGAUCUUUCAUGAUCUUAAUUCAUGCUAUCAUUUGUAAUUGUUCGUUGGCGCUCCUGCUCUAUAUUCCAAUUGAGGUAUGGUUUUCGUCAAUCUAUAUUUUUAACUAUCUUAAAUUAUAUACGGUUACAUAGCCUAACCCUUUGAAACAAAAUGUGAAUUCAGAAGUAUAAGUAGUUUUAAUUUGUUGCUAUAAUAAACAAAAAUGACUAUUACUGCUGGUGACAAUUUGUGUGCUGCAAAGUCCAUUGCAUCCUUUAUCUGGGGAAAAAUUCUCGGUUGAGGUUUUAAUAUUUUUAUCAAUGUUAAUUGACAUCAAUUACUGUUCUUUUGUUUGUAUUUAUAGACAUCAUGUCAAUUAAUUAUUUAGAUUAGUAUAGCCGAUUUAUUGUAAAUGUGAGUGCAUAGCAAAAAGUAAGGAACAAGAAGCCACGAAGCACAAAGAAGGGAGGCUUUAGCCAGUUUGUAAUAAAAAGAAGAUUUAGGGCUAAUAUUGAUAGUAUUCUAUGAGUUGUGUAAAUAUUGAUAAUUUUUUUAUUUAGGUAUCAAACUUAAUAGUUUUCUGAUGCGCGGGAUAUUUACAUAACUGUCACAGUUUAAAAGAAAUUUAACAAAUUUUUAGUAUGAAACCUAGUAUAAAUGCUUGGCAGGGAAAUAUUUAUAUUUGUAGCACAUAGUUCCAUUAAAAUAGGAAUAUUAAUUAGUAAUCCCUAAAAAUAAGCAAAUUGAAUGGAAAGCCAGUAAUUCUUUGUACGGAAAUCAUGCAUUUUUCUCUUUAACUAUUUGCUUUCCUUCUUUUAAUUCAUCUUUCCUUCUUCAUAUGUAAUAAUAUCAUACAAACUCGCUCGCAAACUCAAAUCAUCAAAAUAACAUCAAUAAUCAAGAAUUAAUCAUUAAAAUUCAAGAUUUUUCAAAGUUAAACUCAAAUCUCCAGCUUUUUACAUAAGUGUUGAAAGGCCUCGGGUCACCCAGACCUCAAUAAAAGAUGCAUACGGGUCUAAAAUUAUCAUACGAAUCUAUAGAAAUUGUCAAAUCAUCGAUCCGGGGUGGUUUACCAAAAACGUUGACCGUGGUCAACUCUAGCUAUUUCCAAAGUCAAAAAUCACAUUUUCUUUAAAUUAUUCACAUUUAGACUUAUCGGAAACCGACACGGACCACACACGCAAGUUAUAAAUCAGCAAAUUGAUCUAUGAAAACUCUCGAAACAUAAAAUAGAAAGCUACUACACAAACCUAUUAGGUCGUCACAGGUUGAUGCAUUUUUUAUAGUAUCAUUAAAUCAUUCACCCACUGACAUAGCCACUAUAACAUCAAUCUUAGUUUGUGAGAUAUAUUUGUUCCAUAUUUGUUAAGAUUUUGAACAGGCCCCAAUAAUACACGAGGAGUCCUCAUCAUAAUCACAUCGUUCACACUUUGGUAAUUCAAUUAACCUCCUAAUAAAUAUAAGGUCACUUGACAAAAGUUUGUUAGGUCUGACAAGCCAUAUAAAAUAUUUUGAGUGCUUAGCAAUACAAAGCUUUAAUAUAUUAUUUCAUUCCAUGUCAUAUGAGGUAGUUACAUUACCACAAACAACCUUAUAUGCGGAUUUGGUACAAAAAGUGAUUUCUUUUUCAAAAACAACAUUAUCACGAAUAACAUUAAAUAAGAUAAUAUAUAUUUGAGAUGGAUCAAGAAAAUGAGGUUACAGAUGUAGACCAUUAUCUAUCCAAUAACACAUCAGAACUUUAACAGGUGUGUCAACUUUAGUUAGUAUCGAUACUAAAUUUAUAGAUAAGUGGCCAUGUGUAUAACCUUUGUUUGUAUUUGUAGACAUCAUGACAAUAUAUUAUUUUGGUUAGUGUAGCCGAUUUAUUUUAAAUGUGAGGGCAUAGCAAAAAGUAAGGACCAAGAAGUCACGAAGCACAAAGAAGGAAGCUUUAGCCAGUUUGUAAUAAAAAGAAGAUUUAGGGCUAAUAUCGAUAGUAUUCUAUGAGUUAUGCUAAUAUUGAUAAUUUUUUUAUUCAGUUGUCAAACUUAAUAGUUUUCUUAUUCUUUUAAGACCUUAAAUAUCAAGGCCCAAUUAUCUCAAUAGAACUUCAACCCAAGCUAAUUUGUAAACAAUUCAUGUUUGGUUCUAAAUUUCUAAUUUUAUAAAAAAACUAGUUAAGUUUCAAGUAAGACAAAUCCAGUGAACUAUCCACUUAUUGUUAACCAACAAAAGCUGCUCCAAUGAUAGCAGAUUAUCUUAUUCAUUCUAAACAACUAAAAUUAAUAUAAUUACUAAGACGAAAUGCCUCUACUCAACGAUCCAAAUUGAAAUAUCUACAGAAAUCUGCCAAACAAAACUUUGUAUAUAACAAUAAAGCUAGCAGAUCAAUAAUGACAUGAUUUUCUCCUUUUUAAAUAAUCAUUGAAGCAUCAUCAAGCCCACCCGAAUAUUCUUAUGAACCAAACUAAAAAACAACCAGAACUACAGGAGAUGGACACAAACAGAGACUGGAAAGCAGUAAUAUCAUACUUGGUAUCAACCCGGAUGUAAACAAAAUAGGAAGUUCAACCAUCCAUUACAUAGCAUUGGUAUUUAUAUACAAACUGAUAAGAAUAGAAUGCUUUAAUGGUACAAUGAAGUAAAGAGAACUCAAAUCGAUUUGUUUGCAUUCAUUCUGGAACAAAGAUUACAGUAGUGUUUAAAGAAUUACCUCGACAGCAGAAAGAAAAGGUGUUAGCGCUAGAUGAACUAAAACUCAACAACCACCACCAGCAAAAUAGCAUCCAAAUUAUUCUCCUGCUUCUCUAAAAAUAUUUUACACUCAAGAUACUACUCAUAAAACUCUUAAAUUUUUAGCUUACUAUAUGUCUUCAGCUGAUGACUUUUUGCUCUCUAAGAUGUAUUUUACAUAGUGUAAAAUUGUUCUCUAGAGUGUGUAAAAAAUAUCAAAAUGAGAAAAAUAGAUCUUCUUUAAAUAGGAGGAGAAAGGCCCUUGAGACAUAUUUUAU
Molecule: long non-coding RNA, 7295 nt
Filed under: Nicotiana tabacum (common tobacco)
Lineage: Eukaryota; Viridiplantae; Streptophyta; Magnoliopsida; Solanales; Solanaceae
Description: long non-coding RNA (NTAB_LNC007654)
Source: RNAcentral